UACCUGCAGGAGGGUGGACUCUGCUGGCUGGGGCUGGGGCUGAUGUGGGUGUGAGUCUGACUCUGUCCUCCUCUUCACACUCGCCAGUGCUUCCUCCCACCCUCAUGGUUCUUACCUUUAGGAUGCAGGAGGGUGGACUCUGCUGGCUGGGGCUGAUGCUAAUGUGGGUGUGGGUGUGGGUCUGACUCUGUCCUCCUCUCCUCUUCACACUCCCCGGUGCUUCCUCCCGCGCGGGUGUUAGCUGGGAGGAAGUGAGCUCACUUCCUCCCAGCAGUGCCACGAUCCUUAAAGGGGCCCAGACUAGCUAUUAAAAAUCUGCAGCACUGAUCGGGCCCCUUUAGAGAUAUGCCCAUCGGGUGGUCUUAAGUGCAUGGGCCACCUGAUGGGCCCCCUCAGAUAGUUAUGCCACUGCCAAAACACAUACAUAUAGCGAUAAACGCUAUAUAUAUGUAUGCACAUUGGGAAUGGGGGGGCCUGGGUGCCUGGGCCCCCCAGGACCGCCGGGCCCAUGACAACAGUCAUGGUUGUCACCCCCUGAUGGCGGCCCUGA
Non-coding RNA from Pelobates cultripes (western spadefoot toad), 550 nucleotides. NCBI's taxonomy places the organism in Eukaryota, Metazoa, Chordata, Amphibia, Anura, Pelobatidae. The record is from the annotation of a GenBank genome assembly.